GGAUUAGAUACCCUGGUAGUCUACGCCGUAAACGAUGCGCACUAGGUACGAGAAUCUCUGACGAUCUUCGUGCCGCAGCAAAAGUGCUAAGUGCGCCGCCUGGGGAGUACGGCCGCAAGGCCAAAACUCAAAGGAAUUGACGGGGGCUCACACAAGCGGUGGAGCAUGUGGAUUAAUUCGAAACAACGCGAAGAACCUUACCUGGGUUUGACAUGCACGGAUGCCCUUUUCGAAAGAAGAGUAAGCUGCCUUCGGGUGAAACGUGCACAGGUGCUGCAUGGCUGUCGUCAGUUCGUGCCG
Molecule: ribosomal RNA, 300 nt
Filed under: uncultured bacterium
Lineage: Bacteria
Description: bacterial SSU rRNA
Rfam family: Bacterial small subunit ribosomal RNA
Source: RNAcentral